AGCGCAGGCGGGAGAACAAGUUGGAAGUGAAAUCCAUGGGCUCAACCCAUGAACUGCUUUCAAAACUGUUUUUCUUUGAGUAGUGCAGAGGUAGGCGGAAUUCCCGGUGUAGCGGUGGAAUGCGUAGAUAUCGGGAGGAACACCAGUGGCGAAGGCGGCUUUCUGGACUGUAACUGACACUGAGGCUCGAAAGCCAGGGGAGCGAACG
This 208-nucleotide ribosomal RNA is filed under the name uncultured bacterium. Its description in RNAcentral is "partial 16S ribosomal RNA". It matches the Rfam family "Bacterial small subunit ribosomal RNA", at positions 568 to 774 of the family's 1533-position model. The record is from RNAcentral.